AGAGUUUGAUCCUGGCUCAGGACAAACGCUGGCGGCGUGCCUAACACAUGCAAGUCGAACGCCCUGCAUUUCGGUGCAGGGAGUGGCGGACGGGUGAGUAACACAUGGGUGACCUACCCCCGAGUGAGGAAUACCGGCGAGAAAUCGCCGACAAUACCGCAUAGGUUUCGCAAGAAACAAAGCUCGCAAGGGCGCUUGGG
RNAcentral lists this ribosomal RNA (200 nucleotides) under uncultured bacterium. RNAcentral describes it as "partial 16S ribosomal RNA". It matches the Rfam family "Bacterial small subunit ribosomal RNA", at positions 8 to 223 of the family's 1533-position model. The record is from RNAcentral.